RNAcentral lists this ribosomal RNA (314 nucleotides) under uncultured bacterium. Its description in RNAcentral is "partial 16S ribosomal RNA". It matches the Rfam family "Bacterial small subunit ribosomal RNA", at positions 495 to 807 of the family's 1533-position model. The record is from RNAcentral.
GUAUAAGAGACAGCAGCCGCCACGGUAAUACGGAGGGUGCAAGCGUUACUCGGAAUCACUGGGCGUAAAGGACGCGUAGGCGGAUUAUCAAGUCUCUUGUGAAAUCUAACGGCUUAACCGUUAAACUGCUUGGGAAACUGAUAAUCUAGAGUAAGGGAGAGGCAGAUGGAAUUCUUGGUGUAGGGGUAAAAUCCGUAGAGAUCAAGAAGAAUACCCAUUGCGAAAGCGAUCUGCUGGAACUUAACUGACGCUAAUGCGUGAAAGCGUGGGGAGCAAACAGGAUUAGAGACCCGCGUAGUCCCUGUCUCUUAUAC